CUUUAAGCUGCAAUGCCGGGAAAAAUGUGUUAAAUCUAAUUGUCGCGCAGAAAGUAGGAUAACAUACUGCAACUAUUAAUUUCAAUUAAAUGAGCAAAACAAAGUCAUGGAUCUGGGAUCAGUUCUCUCCCCUUGAAAGACUAUUUAACUAAUCUGGCUACAACGUAGGCAGCCCCGCGAAGAAGGAUUGAUUUCCGUUACCCAGCCUCCGCGAUACAAACUCCUGACAUUUAUUCCGGCCAAGUCGAAAAGGGCUCUAAAGUCUCGGUUUAUCUAAAUGCUGCAUUGUGCUGCUAGUGUCCCCUGAGAUUUUCCGAGGCGUUGAAGCGUGCCACCCCGGUUUUCGGGCCAACAAAAUGCAGUGGUUUCCGGUUCGCCAGCGACCCCAGGCUCAGGGCACAAGCAACAUCAACAGUGGGAGUUAAUUCGCCAAAGUCAGUAACCUCAUCAAAGAACGGCUAACCGUCUGUCUGAAGGGGAGGUGGGUCUUUAGCUUUCGCUUGGCUGCUGGGGGUGUCGUCUACUCCACCGCCGCCACAUUAAAUUCACGCCAAACGACGUGAGGCGCAUAUGUUUAUGAGUCUCGUCGAGAUUGAAAGCCCUGGAAGUGGAAUCGAGUGGAGUGGUGUGGCAUGCCCAUGGUUAACCGAAAGCGAAGCAGGACGCUCCUUGCAUAAAAGCCUCAUGGUCACCGUUUGCCGAUGAUGAUGCCGCUAGCUGCUCCUGCCUCCUGGCUGCUUUCCUCCUCGCCGCACGCUGCCUGCUAAUGGAUUUCGUGGCACUGCCAAUUGAAGGGUUAGGGCUACGGGAGAAGUGGAAGUCCUCUUUUGGCCGCGCAGCAUGCUUUCAAUUUACUUCCACUUCCUCCACCGAACGCCCGGUUUUGUUAUUGUUGUUGCUCUGACUUACGCACCGUGAAUGAAUGCCAAAAGGGCGCAGGAGACGGGGCAGGAGGUGUGGUACUCGGGGAUGCGAUGCCACAGGACGAUGCACGUUAUUUUUUGACCAAGAGGAAUAUUAAGAUGUUUUAAGUCUUACAUAUGUAUAAACCAAUAUAUUAAGAAGUUAUAUUCCCAA
Long non-coding RNA from Drosophila eugracilis, 1077 nucleotides. RefSeq lists it as uncharacterized. The transcript has 3 exons. Lineage: Eukaryota; Metazoa; Arthropoda; Insecta; Diptera; Drosophilidae. The record is from RefSeq and is a predicted model, not a curated record.